RNAcentral lists this non-coding RNA (30 nucleotides) under Homo sapiens (human). Lineage: Eukaryota; Metazoa; Chordata; Mammalia; Primates; Hominidae. The record is from RNAcentral.
GCCCAAUAACGAGAUGCAGGUGAACUGGGG